Molecule: long non-coding RNA, 485 nt
Filed under: Sus scrofa (pig)
Lineage: Eukaryota; Metazoa; Chordata; Mammalia; Artiodactyla; Suidae
Description: lncRNA (ENSSSCG00065042590.1, ENSSSCG00070018588.1)
Source: RNAcentral
GUUUACAGGCAGCGGCUGUAAAGGUCUUUGUUGCUGUGGCUGCCAUGUUAAUGACCCAGCUUGGGGCGCUGCCGCCGCCGCCGUCGGCCGCUUCUUCCAAAGAAAACAAAUCAAAAGCCUUCAUUCCGUUCCUGAGGAAGAAACAGUAUCCUGAAGGAUUCCCCCAAAGCUGGACAAUUAGGUAAAUAUUUUUGCUCAAAAAACAUGCCAUUUGGUGCCACUUUCCUUGAUAAAUGAUCUUUCCCCUGCCAAAAAGGAAGCCAAAAACAUGUAACCUUUCUCCUGAGAUAGAAUAAUAAUGAGUGGAAAGAUACAAUAAGGUUUUUAUAGUGUUAAAACAUUUAAGCUUGAUGUUAUUAAGCUUUUUCCAUCAUAUUUUUAACCUUUAUACCUUUCUAAAAAAAAAAAAAGAACUCAGGCUAACCUCUCUUCUCCUCUUUUUAAAAAAAUUACCAUGCUAUUGAGGAAGGAAAUAAGAGAGUUGG